Long non-coding RNA from Sapajus apella (tufted capuchin), 1110 nucleotides. RefSeq lists it as uncharacterized. The record is from RefSeq and is a predicted model, not a curated record. Lineage: Eukaryota; Metazoa; Chordata; Mammalia; Primates; Cebidae. The transcript is spliced from 2 exons.
CAGAUCAAAGUCCUCAAGAGUUUUUACAAUUCUCAGUCGAGCUUCAUUCUAUAAGUGUCAAUAAAAAUGUGUUUAUUUUUAUUAUUGAGGGGAGCACCAUCAAAUGGUCUAUGAAACUGUUACAUGGAUUCAGAGUCUGAGCACCAUUAUUCUAUCUACACAUUUCCUGUCCACCAAAAAAACAAUAUUUGAAAGAAGUCAUCCAGUCUGAAAGGCUUUGCUCCACAGUUCAGAGAAGCUGAAAGGCUGAAUGUCUGCCUCAGUAUUUGAAUUAUCCCCAGAAAAACUAUAUGAAACCAAGAAUCUCACGUAUUGGCUUUGGCUCUGGGGUGAUGAAGAUGGGGAGGGGGAGAGAAAGAAGUGCAUGCAGAGGGUAAGUGCUAGAGUCGACAGAAAGAAGGCACUUGGGUCAUUACUUCCUGCCAAUUUCAGUUUCAAAAGCAAACUCCUCCAACUUGCCAACAGCCCUCAACAAAUUCUCAUUGUCAGAAUGAACACUUAUCAAAAGUAGAUUCAUUUGGGAAGGGCUUUUAUGAUACUAAUAAAACUUUAAAGCUUCUCACUUUUUUUUUUUUUUUUUUUGUUUAAGUCUUAAUAUAUAGCCAUUUGAAAAGCAAUACUGAUCUAGGAAAAUAGCAAACCAAAAUGGCAACAAAAAAGAAUUAUUUAAGCCAAUAUUGAGUCUAAGUUCCAGUCAACAAGACAACCCAGGACAGAAGAUUUAAACCAGACAGACGUGGGUCUGUGAGCGAGGAGAAGCAAGGAAGCUUCCAAAUGUGGUCUGAGUUAGACAGUGUGAGGAAACGGCAGCUUAGAGUUGUCAAGUCAGAAGGAAAGAGAACCUAAGACAGCUUAGGACAGCUCUGUGAAGUCCUGAUUUACAGAGUUCAACUGCCAAUGAUUAGGCAAAGUGUAGACAAAAGCAAGAGAGAGCUCAGACUAGCUAGUCAGAGAUGAUGCAGCCAACAAUGGCUUGGUUCCACAUCAUACCUUUGUUUUAUUCCAUAGAUAAAAAACUCGCCCACUUGCUCUCCCACACACUCUUUAUUACAGCCAUUAAAUACAAAAAUCUUUUUUUUUUUUUUUUUUUUUUGGUGAGACAGAGUCUCA